This 846-nucleotide ribosomal RNA is filed under the name uncultured archaeon. RNAcentral's name for it is "bacterial SSU rRNA". It matches the Rfam family "Archaeal small subunit ribosomal RNA", at positions 415 to 1261 of the family's 1478-position model. The record is from RNAcentral.
AGUUGUAGAAUCACUGGUGAAUAAGGGGUGGGCAAGUUCUGGUGUCAGCCGCCGCGGUAAAACCAGCACCUCGAGUGGUCAGGAGGUUUAUUGGGCCUAAAGCAUCCGUAGCCGGUUGCAUAAGUUUUCGGUUAAAUCUAUGCGCUUAACGUAUAGGCCGCCGAAAAUACUGUGCAGCUAGGGAGUGGGAGAGGUACACGGUACUCGAUAGGAAGGGGUAAAAUCCUUUGAUCUAUUGAUGACCACCUGUGGCGAAGGCGGUGUACCAGAACACGUUCGACGGUGAGGGAUGAAAGCUGGGGGAGCAAACCGGAUUAGAUACCCGGGUAGUCCCAGCUGUAAACGAUGCAGACUCGGUGAUGUAUUAGCUUGUGGCCAAUGCAGUGCCGCAGGGAAGCCGUUAAGUCUGCCGCCUGGGAAGUACGUACGCAAGUAUGAAACUUAAAGGAAUUGGCGGGGGAGCACCACAAGGGGUGAAGCCUGCGGUUCAAUUGGAGUCAACGCCAGAAAUCUUACCUGGGGAGACAGCAGAAUGAAGGUCAAGCUGAAGACUUUACCAGACACGCUGAGAGGUGGUGCAUGGCCGUCGCCAGCUCGUGCCGUGAGAUGUCCUGUUAAGUCAGGUAACGAGCGAGACCCCUGCGUCUAGUUGCUACCAUUACUCUCUGGAGCAGUGGAGCGAAUUAGACGGACCGCCACAGUUAAUGUGGAGGAAGGAAGGGGCCACGGCAGGUCAGUAUGCCCCGAAACCCUAGGGCUACACGCGGGCUGCAAUGGUAUUGACAUGUGUUCCGAAUCCGAAAGGAGGAGGCAAUCAUCAAACAUAUCUCAGUUAUGACUGAGGGC